Molecule: non-coding RNA, 92 nt
Organism: Xylaria sp. CBS 124048
Lineage: Eukaryota; Fungi; Ascomycota; Sordariomycetes; Xylariales; Xylariaceae
Source: the annotation of a GenBank genome assembly
GGUCUGGUGGUCUAGCGGUAUGAUUCUCGCUUAGGGUUCACCCUACAGCUUCUGUUUGCGAGAGGUCCCGGGUUCAAUCCCCGGCCAGACCC